UCGCCUGUUUUUACAAAAACAUUUCUUAUAGAUCUUAUUAUAAGUAAAGCCUGCUCAAUGAAUUUAUUCAAUAGCCGCAAUUUUCUUGUGCUAAGGUAGCAUAAUCAUUUGUUUUUUAAUUUGAAACUAGAAUGAAAGGUUUAACAUUUAAAUUUCUAUAUUUUUAAUAUAUUUAUAAAAUUAUAUUAAAUAUAAAAAUAUAUUUAUAAAAAAAUCAGACGACAAGACCCUAUUGAACUUAACUUAUGUUAAGCUGGGGCAGCUUUUAAAUUAAAACUUUCAUUAAUAUUUUUAUAAAUUAUCCAAUAAAAUUGAAAUUUAUCAAGUUACCAUAGGGAUAACAGCGUAAUUUUUAUUUAAAGUUCUUAUUUAAAUAUAAGUUUGCGACCUCGAUGUUGAAUUAAAUUUUCUCUAUUUCGCAAUAGAAAUAAAAGUAGGUCUGUUCGACCUUUAAAAAUUUACAUGAUUUGAGUUCAAACCGGUGCGAGCCAGGUUGGUUUCUAUCUUUUUUAAUUAUUUUCCAGUACGAAAGGACAAAAAAUAAUAUUUUAAAUAAUUUAUUGGCAGAAAAUUGCAUUAGAAUUAGAAUCUAAUCAU
Molecule: ribosomal RNA, 597 nt
Filed under: Argyrodes sp. 2 YCS-2014
Lineage: Eukaryota; Metazoa; Arthropoda; Arachnida; Araneae; Theridiidae
Description: partial 16S ribosomal RNA
Rfam family: Bacterial large subunit ribosomal RNA (bases 216-506)
Source: RNAcentral